This is a long non-coding RNA of Pleuronectes platessa (European plaice), 462 nucleotides long. RefSeq lists it as uncharacterized. NCBI's taxonomy places the organism in Eukaryota, Metazoa, Chordata, Actinopteri, Pleuronectiformes, Pleuronectidae. The transcript has 3 exons. The record is from RefSeq and is a predicted model, not a curated record.
GUCGUGGCGUCUGUUCCACGGUCUGCGCCAAAACUGGUAAAAUUGGCGUCUGGAGAGAACGUGGACACACCAGGAAACGUCGUUGCCAAUGCACUUGCUCCGCAUGAUAUGCACAGAAAUAUUAGAUCUACGGCAAAUAACUGAGGCUUCAUUUUUUCACUGCAGACGGAAGAUCCCGCGUCCUGGAUUGCGCUCUGGAGAAAAAAGAGAAGAGGACGGACUUGUUUUGAUUUGUAGUGGCUGUUAUCACCUCUAGAGGCUCCGGUAGUGGUCCGCAGAGAGGGAGGUCUGCCUGGCUGCACGUGCUGUCCCCAAACAAACACCACAACAUCCCUCAGCUGAAGGAAGUGAGCCUCUUCUUCAUGUACAGAAAGGCAACGUAUGUGGCUCCGCCCAGGAGGCCUAUCAGCAGAGUGGUACCCACAAUUACCGGCGCGUUCUUCUUGGCCACCCGAAACGCCA